This 591-nucleotide ribosomal RNA is filed under the name uncultured Actinomycetes bacterium. RNAcentral's name for it is "bacterial SSU rRNA". It matches the Rfam family "Bacterial small subunit ribosomal RNA", at positions 130 to 736 of the family's 1533-position model. The record is from RNAcentral. Lineage: Bacteria; Bacillati; Actinomycetota; Actinomycetes.
CCUCCUCUUGGGGAUAGCCUCGGGAAACCGAGGAUAAUACCCGAUACUUCAAUGUGGCCGCAUGACGACAUUGAGAAAGCUUUUGCGGAGAAGGAUGGGCCCGCGGCCUGUUAGCUUGUUGGUGGGGUAGAGGCCUACCAAGGCAAUGAUGGGUAGCUGGGUUGAGAGACCGACCAGCCAGAUUGGGACUGAGACACGGCCCAGACUCCUACGGGAGGCAGCAGUGGGGAAUCUUGCACAAUGGGCGAAAGCCUGAUGCAGCGACGCCGCGUGCGGGAAGAAGGCCUUCGGGUUGUAAACCGCUUUCAGCAGGGACGAGGCGAAAGUGACGGUACCUGCAGAAGAAGCCCCGGCUAACUACGUGCCAGCAGCCGCGGUAAUACGUAGGGGGCAAGCGUUAUCCGGAUUCAUUGGGCGUAAAGCGCUCGUAGGCGGUCUGUUAGGUCGGGAGUUAAAUCCGGAGGCUCAACCUCCGCCCGCUCCCGAUACCGGCAGACUUGAGUUUGGUAGGGGAAGGUGGAAUUCCUAGUGUAGCGGUGGAUGCGCAGAUAUUAGGAAGAACACCAGUGGCGAAGGCGGCCUUCUGGGCCA